This 58-nucleotide transfer RNA is filed under the name Riccia gougetiana. RNAcentral's name for it is "partial tRNA-Phe". It matches the Rfam family "tRNA", at positions 1 to 56 of the family's 71-position model. From Rfam's summary of the family: Transfer RNA (tRNA) molecules are approximately 80 nucleotides in length. Their secondary structure includes four short double-helical elements and three loops (D, anti-codon, and T loops). The record is from RNAcentral. Lineage: Eukaryota; Viridiplantae; Streptophyta; Marchantiopsida; Marchantiales; Ricciaceae.
GCCGGGAUAGCUCAGUGGGUAGAGCAGAAGACUGAAAAUCCUCGUGUCACCAGUUCAA